UCGAAGACUAUGCAGUACGCAAUAAGUGCAAUGCGGUGAAAGAGACGUUCCUACUAACAUUACAGUUAACGUGUGUUUCGUAAACGCGAGUUAGUUUCAGGAAGUGACUCUUUCUCGAUAUUUUAGUACCUGUAACAAUCAUGUGAAUCCAAACAGAUCAUUCUUUUGACAAGGGCAAGUGUCUUCAAAUAUUGGGAAUACCUACUUCUGUGGUGAACAUUUUCCUUAAAGAGAUUUUAUUGGCAGUGGUUGUGGUCAUUAUUACCAUGAAACAAUUGAAUAUUCGAAAGGAGAAUUUCGACUAGACAUG
This is a long non-coding RNA of Agrilus planipennis (emerald ash borer), 310 nucleotides long. RefSeq lists it as uncharacterized. The record is from RefSeq and is a predicted model, not a curated record. Lineage: Eukaryota; Metazoa; Arthropoda; Insecta; Coleoptera; Buprestidae. The transcript is spliced from 4 exons.